This is a non-coding RNA of Macaca mulatta (Rhesus monkey), 550 nucleotides long. NCBI's taxonomy places the organism in Eukaryota, Metazoa, Chordata, Mammalia, Primates, Cercopithecidae. The record is from RefSeq and is a predicted model, not a curated record.
CUCAUCUAAGGGCGUCUCCAGACUGUCACCCACCCCACCAUCCUCCCUGCGCUGGGGGUACUAAAUCCCAUGCAAAAAGACCUCGUCCAUUCCCAGAACUGGUCCAGACACCUGUUUACUCGUGCCCAAGGAGUGGUGGCUCUGAUUAAGGAAAGGUAGCGGUUGCCUCUCUGAUCCGUGCCAAGCUCCGCGGCCCCAGGGCAGGGACCACAUACCUUUGUAUCUCUCCAGGACAUCCUCGUAGGCCUGGAGGUACUCCUGCUCCUCCACGUACAGGACCCAAGAACCUUAACACAAUUCCGAGGUGAAGGAAAUGGGGAGCACCAGGCCCGGCCUCAUGGAGACCUGGGAGUCAGAACCUGAGAUCUGGAAUCAGCCAUUUCUCCAACAAGUUUGUGAUUGAUGGUUUCCAUGGGUGUCCUGCCUGCAUCCCUUCCACCUGGCCAAUGGACUCACAUACAGGCUACUGCCUCCUGAUUGAAGCACCUUGAACAGAGUGAUAAAAUUCUGGCUGGACUCGGCUGCUCUUCUUGAUUCUUCGUUUCCUCAC